GGACAACCUGCCCAAAGGUCCGGGAUAACCCCGGGAAACUGGGGAUAAUACCGGAUAAAUCACAAAUACUGGAAUGGUUUUGUGGUUGAAACUUCCGGGGCCUUUGGAUGGGUCUGCGGCUGAUUAGGUUGUUGCCGGUGUAACGUACCGUCAAGCCUGUAAUCAGUACGGGUUGUGGGAGCAAGAGCCCGGAGAUGGAUUCUGAGACACGAAUCCAGGCCCUACGGGGCGCAGCAGGCGCGAAAACUCUACAAUGCAGGCAACUGCGAUAGGGGAACAUCGAGUGAUACUCAUCUUGGGUGUCUGUCCUCCCGUCUAAAAAACGGGAGUUAGCAAGGGCCGGGCAAGACCGGUGCCAGCCGCCGCGGUAAUACCGGCGGCUCGAGUGGUGGCCGAUAUUAUUGAGUCUAAAGGGUCCGUAGCCGGCUUUGCAAGUCUUUUGGGAAAUCCAGCGGCUUAACCGUUGGUCGUCCGGGAGAUACUACAUUGCUUGGGACUGGGAGAGGUAGGAGGUACUCAGGGGGUAGGAGUGAAAUCCUGUAAUCCUUUGGGGACCACCGGUGGCGAAGGCGUCCUACCAGAACAGGUCCGACGGUGAGGGACGAAAGCUGGGGGAGCAAACCGGAUUAGAUACCCGGGUAGUCCCAGCUGUAAACGAUGCAGACUCGGUGAUGAGUUGGCUUUAUGCCAACUCAGUGCCGCAGGGAAGCCGUUAAGUUUGCCGCCUGGGGAGUACGGUCGCAAGACUGAAACUUAAA
Molecule: ribosomal RNA, 758 nt
Filed under: uncultured archaeon
Lineage: Archaea
Description: bacterial SSU rRNA
Rfam family: Archaeal small subunit ribosomal RNA
Source: RNAcentral